Molecule: long non-coding RNA, 287 nt
Filed under: Lathyrus oleraceus (garden pea)
Lineage: Eukaryota; Viridiplantae; Streptophyta; Magnoliopsida; Fabales; Fabaceae
Description: Pisum sativum (pea) long non-coding RNA (PSAT_LNC002415)
Source: RNAcentral
AAAUGCAUGAUAUGAGAUUUCGGUUAUUUUUGUCUUUUAAAUAAUGUAAAGAUUGACCUAAGUUUACUUUUGGUCAUCCUAAUACGGGAAUGGCCAACUAAUUAUACAACUGCAAUGAAUGAAAGUCUUCAAGGAAAAAUUGGGGUAUGACAAUGUCCUUUUAUUUCGAUGUAUUUCCAUAACCUUUUCUUUUUUAUCUGAGGUAUUUCUAGAUGUGUCUUUUUAUUAUGAUGUAUUUCCAGAACCUUUUCCCUUUUUAUCCGAUGUAUUUCUUGAUGUGUCCUUUU